Molecule: ribosomal RNA, 253 nt
Filed under: uncultured bacterium
Lineage: Bacteria
Description: partial 16S ribosomal RNA
Rfam family: Bacterial small subunit ribosomal RNA
Source: RNAcentral
UACGGAGGGUGCGAGCGUUAAUCGGAAUUACUGGGCGUAAAGGGCACGCAGGCGGUUAAUUAAGUUGGAUGUGAAAUCCCCGGGCUUAACCUGGGAAUGGCAUUCAAGACUGGUUAGCUAGAGUCUUGUAGAGGGGGGUAGAAUUCCAUGUGUAGCGGUGAAAUGCGUAGAGAUGUGGAGGAAUACCGGAGGCGAAGGCGGCCCCCUGGACAGAGACUGACGCUCAUGUGCGAAAGCGUGGGGAGCAAACAGG